This 497-nucleotide ribosomal RNA is filed under the name uncultured bacterium. RNAcentral describes it as "partial 16S ribosomal RNA". It matches the Rfam family "Bacterial small subunit ribosomal RNA", at positions 28 to 507 of the family's 1533-position model. The record is from RNAcentral.
GAUGAACGCUGGCGGCGUGCCUAAUACAUGCAAGUCGAGCGAACAGACGAGGAGCUUGCUCCUCUGACGUUAGCGGCGGACGGGUGAGUAACACGUGGAUAACCUACCUAUAAGACUGGGAUAACUUCGGGAAACCGGAGCUAAUACCGGAUAAUAUAUUGAACCGCAUGGUUCAAUAGUGAAAGACGGUUUUGCUGUCACUUAUAGAUGGAUCCGCGCCGCAUUAGCUAGUUGGUAAGGUAACGGCUUACCAAGGCGACGAUGCGUAGCCGACCUGAGAGGGUGAUCGGCCACACUGGAACUGAGACACGGUCCAGACUCCUACGAGAGGCAGCAGUAGGGAAUCUUCCGCAAUGGGCGAAAGCCUGACGGAGCAACGCCGCGUGAUUGAUGAAGGUCUUCGGAUCGUAAAACUCUGUUAUUAGGGAAGAACAAAUGUGUAAGUAACUAUGCACGUCUUGACGGUACCUAAUCAGAAAGACACGGCUAACUACGUG